RNAcentral lists this ribosomal RNA (255 nucleotides) under uncultured bacterium. RNAcentral's name for it is "partial 16S ribosomal RNA". It matches the Rfam family "Bacterial small subunit ribosomal RNA", at positions 524 to 776 of the family's 1533-position model. The record is from RNAcentral.
UACGAGGGGUCCUAGCGUUGUUCGGAAUCAUUGGGCGUAAAGCGUCUGUAGGCGGCUUUGUAAGUCAGGUGUGAAAGCCCCGGGCUCAACCCGGGGAAGUGCAUUUGAUACUGCAUAGCUUGAAUGUUGGAGAGGAUAGUAGAAUUCCAGGUGUAGUGGUGAAAUACGUAGAUAUCUGGAGGAAUACCGGUGGCGAAGGCGGCUAUCUGGCCAAACAUUUGACGCUGAGAGACGAAAGCAUGGGAAUCAAACAGG